Molecule: ribosomal RNA, 477 nt
Filed under: uncultured bacterium
Lineage: Bacteria
Description: partial 16S ribosomal RNA
Rfam family: Bacterial small subunit ribosomal RNA
Source: RNAcentral
GACGAACGCUGGCGGCAUGCCUAACACAUGCAAGUCGAACGGUAAGGCUUCCUUAGGGGAGUACACGAGUGGCGAACGGGUGAGUAACACGUGGGUAACCUACUCUUGACUGGGGGACAACCGAGGGAAACUUCGGCUAAUACCGCAUAACGUGCAUUGCCUCAAGGUGGUGUACCAGAGCUCCGGCGGUUAAGGAUGGGCCCGCGGCAGAUUAGCUUGGUGGUGAGGUAACGCCUUACCAAGGCGACGAUCGAUAGUAUGUUCGAGCGGACGAUCAGCCGCCCUUGAACUGAGACACGGUCGAGACUCCUACGUGAGGCAGCAAUGGGGAAUGUUACGCAAUGGGCGAAAGCCUGAAUCAGCAAUGCCGCGUGAAGGAAGUCGGCCUUAGGGUUGUAACCCUCUUUCAGCAGGGACGAACACAGACGGUACCUGCAGAAGAAGCCCCGGCUAACUACGUGCCAGCCGCCGCAGUAA